AGAGUUUGAUCAUGGCUCAGGACGAACGCUGGCGGCGUGCUUAACACAUGCAAGUCGAACGGAGUUUAAGAGGAAGCUUGCGAAUCUUAAACUUAGUGGCGGACGGGUGAGUAACGCGUGGAUAACCUGCCUACAUGACCGGGACAACACCGGGAAACUGGUGCUAAUACCGGAUACGCUCAUCACUAUACAUGUAGAGAUGAGGAAAGGAGAAAUCCGCAGGUAGAUGGGUCCGCGUCCCAUUAGCUAGUUGGGGGUGUAACGGACCACCAAGGCGACGAUGGGUAGCCGGCCUGAGAGGGUGAACGGCCACACUGGAACUGAGACACGGUCCAGACUCCUACGGGAGGCAGCAGUGGGGAAUCUUCCGCAAUGGGCGAAAGCCUGACGGAGCAACGCCGCGUGAGUGAGGAAGGCCUUCGGGUCAUAAAGCUCUGUCUUCAGGGAAGAAAAAAAUGACGGUACCUGAGGAGGAAGCCCCGGCUAACUACGUGCCAGCAGCCGCGGUAAAACGUAGGGGGCGAGCGUUGUCCGGAAUUACUGGGCGUAAAGGGCGCGUAGGCGGUUAUUUAAGUCAGAGGUGAAAACUACCGGCUUAACCGGUAGCCUGCCUUUGAAACUGGAUGACUUGAGGGCAGGAGAGGGGAGUGGAAUUCCCAGUGUAGCGGUGAAAUGCGUAGAUAUUGGGAGGAGCACCAGUGGCGAAGGCGGCUCUCUGGCCUGUUUCUGACGCUGAGGCGCGAAAGCGUGGGGAGCAAACGGGAUUAGAUACCCCGGUAGUCCACGCUGUAAACGAUGGGUGCUAGGUGUAGGAGGUAUCGACCCCUUCUGUGCCGUAGUUAACACAAUAAGCACCCCGCCUGGGGAGUACGGCCGCAAGGUUGAACUCAAAGGAAUUG
Molecule: ribosomal RNA, 899 nt
Filed under: uncultured bacterium
Lineage: Bacteria
Description: bacterial SSU rRNA
Rfam family: Bacterial small subunit ribosomal RNA
Source: RNAcentral